RNAcentral lists this ribosomal RNA (498 nucleotides) under uncultured bacterium. RNAcentral's name for it is "partial 16S ribosomal RNA". It matches the Rfam family "Bacterial small subunit ribosomal RNA", at positions 30 to 523 of the family's 1533-position model. The record is from RNAcentral.
AUUGAACGCUGGCGGCAUGCCUUACACAUGCAAGUCGAACGGUAACAGGUCUUCGGAUGCUGACGAGUGGCGAACGGGUGAGUAAUACAUCGGAACGUGCCUAGUAGUGGGGGAUAACUACUCGAAAGAGUGGCUAAUACCGCAUGAGAUCUACGAAUGAAAGCAGGGGAUCGCAAGACCUUGUGCUACUAGAGCGGCCGAUGGCAGAUUAGGUAGUGGGUGGGAUAAAAGCUUACCAAGCCGACGAUCUGUAGCUGGUCUGAGAGGACGAUCAGCCACACUGGGACUGAGAAACGGCCCAGACUCCUGCGGGAGGCAGCAGUGGGGAAUUGUGGACAAUGGGCGCAAGCCUGAUCCAUCAAUGCCGCGUGCAGGAUGAAGGCCUUCGGGUUGUAAACUGCUUUUGUACGGAACGAAAAGCCCCGAGUUAAUACCCUGGGGUCAUGACGGUACCGUAAGAAUAAGCACCGGCUAACUACGUGCCAGCCGCCGCCGUAA